UAAAAAGUGAUGCACAACAUGGGAAGAGUUAAAUCCUGCUUAUUUUGUGUGCUUUGCAGAGUGAAUGGGCUUAAGACCAUGCAUUGGUUGGACAUUGAGAGAUAAGGUUGAUAAAGAUUUCUAUAAACACACAACUCUGUUUUACUUGUGAAGAAAGGAUUUUUCAAGUCAGUAUUCAGUGCUUGUGUCAAGACCAGCAAGAUCUUCAAUAAAUUGUCAGAAAAUGGUUGUGAUAAAAGAUACACCAGACAUGACAAUAGUAUAUUAUGGCAACUGUGGGAUCAAGGCUCUUCACAUUCAGUUCUACUGAACUUUUCUGAAGGCUCAGAAUCACUCCAUUUCUGAGGCCAAGGAGGCUUCACAAAAUCAGAAAUAAUGACAGCUUCAGCUAACCUGA
RNAcentral lists this long non-coding RNA (397 nucleotides) under Mus spicilegus (steppe mouse). Its description in RNAcentral is "lncRNA (ENSMSIG00000004071.1)". The record is from RNAcentral. Lineage: Eukaryota; Metazoa; Chordata; Mammalia; Rodentia; Muridae.